RNAcentral lists this long non-coding RNA (2139 nucleotides) under Marmota monax (woodchuck). Lineage: Eukaryota; Metazoa; Chordata; Mammalia; Rodentia; Sciuridae. The record is from RNAcentral.
AAACUGGCUCGCCAUCUAGUGGUCUUAUCUGGCAACUGUGGGGAUCUGCACAUCAUGAUCCAGAAUCUUUAUUUAAGAAAACCAUGGUCCAUCCAAUCAUGGUUACAGUGCAGUAACAUGGCCUUUAGAGAUUUUUUUUAAAAUAUUUUGUUUUUAGUUUGAGAUGGAUGAAUUUUUUUAUUUCAUUUCUAUGUGGUGCUGAGUAUCAAACCCAGUGCCUCAUGCAUGCUAUGAGAACACUUCCACUGAGUCACAAAUCCAGCCCCCUUUAGAGUUCUUAAAUAAGAUAUUAGGUAUUGCUUUAAUCUCUGGAAGAGAAGUAAAGGUUAAAAUGUUUACAGGGAUUUGACUCUUACCUGUGGGUGUUGUGGUUGAAGGUCUUAAUGGGGUCAUUGCAACAGGAUUCCCUGAACAUCUCAGCAGUAGAGAUCCAUGCGCCCAGCCCCUUGGAUCUCAGGUUCUGUCCACCAUGGCUGAAACUAGACAAUUUUGGAUACAGGUUAUUAAGGUGUAAGUUAGUGAGGUCAUAAUAACUCUUUUUUGUAAAGUGGUGAAAAAAAUUGUUCUUGGAGGAGAGACCAAAUCAGAGUACAGAUUUUAAGCCCCAAUCAUGCAACUGAAUGGAUCAUAAAAAUUAAGAUUUGUGAGCCACUCUGAGUCUCGUAUACUAAGGCUGAGCUGCAACCUGAGAAUCCACAUUUCUAUCCAGUUCUCUGGUAAAACUGAUGUUUGUUUGGGGCCCAGUCUUUGGGACCCAGGAUCAACCAUAGUAUGACUUAGGCUUAACUACUUCUAGCUAAAUGAUAGGGGACAGAUGUGAGUGGUGAGAGCAUGAGGUUCAGGGAAUAAUUCUAUAAUGUGGGGUUCACUGUGCUGACCCUCGCAUGCUUUCCUUUUCAUGAAGAAAUUAACCUGCAACCCUGCCUGCCUUAAGUGCCUCAGUAAACUAUCUGUUAUCUGCAGGAGAAAAUCAGAUAUAAAAUAAUGUCCAUAAGAGGAACCCAUGUUACCCUUAAGAAGGGAACUUUUGUGACUCUUUCCACAUACCAGAUUCUGAAACCCAGAGAGAUAAAAAUAUUUUUUCCUAACUCUAAAAUCUGCAAGAAUUUAUGGUUAAGAAUCCAGUGAGAAUCAGUUGCAUUAGCCAAGGUGACCUAAAGUUAUCACAGUAGUGGGGACUUGACAGUCUGAUGUUAUCCAGCUGUCAGUUCAAAGUCAAAUGGUAGGCCUGGGUGGGACUCUUUGGAAACUUCUCUGGGAUACCCAAUAAAAGUGGAUUGCAUGAAAGGCACACUGUCUCUCUCCUUUCUCAGAGGACCUAUAUCUUCUAUGAGAGUGUCACCUUUCCCUGUUUAUCCCUUCAAUAAACUAAUGCCUGUUAUUCUGAGUGAAAUGUCUGAAAUCUUUCUGACUUAGUUACAAGAAUUAGAGUUUGAAGGGGGGCCUUCUUACUGUUUCAGUUUACAUGAAGUCACCAACCUUGUAUCAUUAAACAUUUAAAAAGUUCUCAUGAUCUACAUUAAGCUUGCUCCAGCUACACUUUCAAGAUUUACAGAGUUGUAGUCCCCAGCUCUUUCAGGAAAAGCCAAAAGAUAGAGCUAAGAUCAGCUAAGAUAAAGCUAAAUGAUGUGACUGUAUUUUUCCUCACACUCUAGUAGUUAGGACUACCAGGAGAUAUGGUUGAGCCCAGUUCUUGUGCAGCAAAAACCUUUGGUUCCCACUGCUGCAUCCAAAUAACCAAUGAGGUUAGAAUGGUCAUCAUCCACAGCAUGUGAGGCCAGGUAUGAGAUGUCUCCACAAGAUCCAUGCACAUUUUCAUCACUUUCACAUAAACAUUUGCAUGUGAGGUGUUUUAUGCUAGAAACUGACAAAACAAAUGGUAAACCUGUGCACUGGACAACCAGAAGAAUUUUAUCAGAGGAUUAGUUCCAUCCUGUAUCUCCAGCAUAAGGGGCUCUGGUAAAUGCUUGGCUCAAUAAACCACUCUUAGUUUAGAAAUAAGCAGUGAUCUGAUCUCCACCUACAAAUUCUGUUCAGCCUAUUCAAACCACUAGUACAUGUAGCCAAUCAGAAGUUAUCCCUGCUCAAGGGACACUGAAGAAACUUGAAUCUAAACCUGGUUCUACCUGUUCUACUCAC